Molecule: long non-coding RNA, 2154 nt
Organism: Brachypodium distachyon (stiff brome)
Lineage: Eukaryota; Viridiplantae; Streptophyta; Magnoliopsida; Poales; Poaceae
Exons: 6
Source: RefSeq, a predicted model, not a curated record
UUCCCAAACUCCUCUAAAAAAAAAAAUCUUUCGGGGCACGCACGGAGGCACGGAGAGCUCCUCCUUCCCGUUUCGCCUCGCCGCCGAAACCAAAUGCUGCUGACUAGCCCGGCGAAUCGGCGGCGCUCCUCCUAGGGACAGGCAGAGAUGGAGACCCCGCUCUUCUUCCUCCUCGCCGGUGCGGCCUGGACGUCCCGGCCGCCUCCUCUGGGCGCCAAGCACCGCCUCGAUACCCUUCUCGCGCACGCGCGUGUACUGCUCCUACUUCCUCCAGGGGCCCUACCGAUGACUCCACUCAAUCGUGCGCCAGUGAGGGGAAAGGCGAUGCCCGCGCCGGUUACCGCCGCCACUAGCGCUCUAGUGUAGUUCUGCCCGUGAGCUCCUCUUACAUCUGUUUCGAUUUGAUUUUUUGUAGUGGCUGGGUGGCGCUGCGAGAUGUUGAUUCUCUGAGCUUGUACAUGUUUGGGGUGGGGAUCUGCAGGCUCCACAUCUAGGAAAAUAACGACCAGGGUGUGGAUUUGCAGUUUGACACUGUCACGGGACGGGCUCCACUGAUGAGUAACAGAAGGGUGGCAUUUCGGAGCUCUUCAGCGAGGCUCGACGGAGUAAUUGAUUAAUUAUUGGGUAUUAUUGUUCAGCAUUAUGUUCGCGCCACAACUUUAUGAUAUCAUCACAUCAGUUAAUGACUUAAUGUGUGCUAGUUAGUUUGUGUCACAACUCACGACACCGGAGGAGCUGUCUGUUAGAGUAAUAUUAUAUGCGCAUCACUUUGUUUGUUAGCUAAUGAAGAAGCUGUUCUAAUUUGGUGGCUCGUGUCUUGCAGAUAUCAUGUAUUGUCACACGCAGCAGCUCUGCAGCUUGGAGCCUUGGAGGAGCCGAAGAGAUCACAAGAUCAAAAUAAAUCGCUUCUUCGGGAAAUAGAAGUUCUAAAAAUGAAAAGGCAAGGCCAUCUGACCGUCAUCACUACCGCAACAACAAAUCAUCUCAACAUCUGGAGACAUGUCUCUUUCCCAAGCUCAGAGCACUAAGAAUGAACCUUUGUAGUGGGAUUUGCAGAUUCAGGAUGUAUCAUGGGGAGCACUGAGUGCUUUGACCUACAUUAGGAAGCUACUUCCUUUAAUAUAAGGAAACUCAGGGAAGUUCAUGAGACACCGGCUCCUCAAAUGAAAAGGUAGAGCCAGAAGCACAUGAACACAGGCAAGAACACUCCAACGCUGACUCCUGAGUACGACAACAAAAUUGCAGGAGCAAUGACAAAAUUGAAGGAGCAUUCGAAGGGACAAAGUUGCAGGAUUUUCUGUUUUACCUGUAACCACUUUCAGGGCUAACGAGAAAUUGUCCUUUGGCCGGCAACCAUUCUUGAUGGUGGCAUCUCCACUAGUUCCAGGAGGGCAUUGACAAGUGUAACUUCCCGGCGUAUUUGUGCAGACUCCGUAGCAUGGAUGUUCUUCUUUGAGUUGGCACUCGUCAAUGUCUUCCGAUCGGCAAAAUAAUCCAUCAGACAAAAGUGGCAGAAGGAGCAGGAAGCAGAACAGGAUGACGGCAUGCUAGCAGCCUAGUGAUUUCAUCAGGGCGCUAUUGGGAGGAAGCGGCGGGCGCUUGAACCACGGCACGGGCGCGACGAACUUGCCUUCUUCUCCGUCGAUGACGCUGCGGCUGCCUUCCUGCUCGCCUGACACGACACAUGCAACCAAAAUUAACACACGGAGGUAUACAUGAAGAUUUGCAUCGUGGAUCUCGAAAUAGCUACUGCCUCCGUUUCUAAAUUCUUGUCAAAAUAUUAAAUGUAUCUAGAUGUGUUUUAAAAAUAUAUACGUCGAAAUAUUUUGGUAAAUUUGAGACAAGAAUUUAGAAACGGAGUAGGUAACUGAUGGCUGCAUGCCAGUAGGCGGUCUCCCUUCAUGCCGUUAAUCCAACCGAGGUGCCGGCCAUGGGCAAGCUUGCCGGCGGAGGCGCUGGCCACGAGCGCGAUCAAAACCGCAGCCACGAACACCGCUUUGGAUGCCAUCUUCCUCCUCUUCUUCUUCUUCUUUUUAAUCUGGCUAGCUAUGCGCUGCACAUUCAUGGUUCUACCAAGACAUAUUACUCCAUGUAUAUAUACUCCAGAGGCUCGAUCGGGUUGCGACAACAAUGAGAUUUGUUUGGUGCUCAUGA